This 498-nucleotide ribosomal RNA is filed under the name uncultured bacterium. RNAcentral's name for it is "partial 16S ribosomal RNA". It matches the Rfam family "Bacterial small subunit ribosomal RNA", at positions 30 to 523 of the family's 1533-position model. The record is from RNAcentral.
AUUGAACGCUGGCGGCAUGCCUUACACAUGCAAGUCGAACGGUAACAGGUCUUCGGAUGCUGACGAGUGGCGAACGGGUGAGUAAUACAUCGGAACGUGCCUAGUAGUGGGGGAUAACUACUCGAAAGAUUGGCUAAUAACGCGUGAGUUCUACGGAUUAAAGCAGGGGAUCGCAAAUCGUUGUGCUACUAAAGUGGCCUAUGGUAGAUUAGGUAGUUGGUGGGAUAAAAGCUUACCAAGCCGACGAACUGUAGCUGGUGUGAGAGGACGAUCAGCCAGACUGGGACUGAGACACGGCCCAGACUCCUACGGGAGGCAGCAGUGGGGAAUUUUGGACAAUGGGCGAAAGCCUGAUCCAGCAAUGCCGCGUGCGGGAUGAAGGCCUUCGGGUUGUAAACUGCUUUUGUACGGAACGAAAAGCCCCGGGUUAAUACCCUGGGGUCAUGACGGUACCGUAAGAAUAAGCACCGGCUAACUACGUGCCAGCCGCCGCCGUAA